GAUGAACGCUAGCUACAGGCUUAACACAUGCAAGUCGAGGGGUAACAAGAGGAAAGCUUGCUUUUCUUGUUGACGACCGGCGCACGGGUGAGUAACGCGUAUCCAACCUGCCUAUAACUAGGGAAUAACCUUGCGAAAGUAAGACUAAUACCCUAUGAUUUCCUUUGAUGACAUCAGAUUAGGAAUAAAGAUUUAUCGGUUAUAGAUGGGGAUGCGUCUGAUUAGCUUGUUGGCGGGGUAACGGCCCACCAAGGCAACGAUCAGUAGGGGUUUUGAGAGGAAGGUCCCCCACAUUGGAACGGAGACACGGUCCAAACUCCUACGGGAGGCAGCAGUGAGGAAUAUUGGUCAGUGGGCGGAAGCCUGAACCAGCCAAGUAGCGUGCAGGAUGACGGCCCUAUGGGUUGUAAACUGCUUUUAUACAGGAAUAAAGUUAGCCACGUGUGGUUAUUUGUAGGUACUGUAUGAAUAAGGACCGGCUAAUUCCGUGCCAGCCGCCGCGGUAA
This 506-nucleotide ribosomal RNA is filed under the name uncultured bacterium. Its description in RNAcentral is "partial 16S ribosomal RNA". It matches the Rfam family "Bacterial small subunit ribosomal RNA", at positions 28 to 523 of the family's 1533-position model. The record is from RNAcentral.